This 253-nucleotide ribosomal RNA is filed under the name uncultured bacterium. RNAcentral describes it as "partial 16S ribosomal RNA". It matches the Rfam family "Bacterial small subunit ribosomal RNA", at positions 524 to 776 of the family's 1533-position model. The record is from RNAcentral.
UACGUAGGUGGCAAGCGUUGUCCGGAUUUACUGGGCGUAAAGAGCGCGUAGGCGGUAGUUCAAGUCGCGUGUGAAAGCCCCCGGCUCAACUGGGGAGGGUCACGCGAUACUGAUCGACUCGAAGGCAGGAGAGGGUAGUGGAAUUCCCGGUGUAGUGGUGAAAUGCGUAGAUAUCGGGAGGAACACCAGUGGCGAAGGCGACUACCUGGCCUGUUCUUGACGCUGAGGCGCGAAAGCUAGGGGAGCAAACGGG